GGAGAGGUCGCAUAGCGGUCUAGUGCGCCUGCUUGGAGAGCAGGUAGGCUCGAAAGGGCCUCGAGGGUUCGAAUCCCUCCCUCUCCGCCA
Molecule: transfer RNA, 90 nt
Filed under: Candidatus Peribacteria bacterium RIFCSPHIGHO2_02_FULL_51_15
Lineage: Bacteria; Candidatus Peregrinibacteriota; Candidatus Peribacteria
Also listed under: 2 other names
Description: tRNA-Ser
Rfam family: tRNA
About the family: Transfer RNA (tRNA) molecules are approximately 80 nucleotides in length. Their secondary structure includes four short double-helical elements and three loops (D, anti-codon, and T loops). Further hydrogen bonds mediate the characteristic L-shaped molecular structure. tRNAs have two regions of fundamental functional importance: the anti-codon, which is responsible for specific mRNA codon recognition, and the 3' end, to which the tRNAs corresponding amino acid is attached (by aminoacyl-tRNA synthetases). tRNAs cope with the degeneracy of the genetic code in two manners: having more than one tRNA (with a specific anti-codon) for a particular amino acid; and 'wobble' base-pairing, i.e. permitting non-standard base-pairing at the 3rd anti-codon position.
Source: RNAcentral